Molecule: long non-coding RNA, 533 nt
Organism: Camelina sativa (false flax)
Lineage: Eukaryota; Viridiplantae; Streptophyta; Magnoliopsida; Brassicales; Brassicaceae
Source: RefSeq, a predicted model, not a curated record
UACCAAAUAUCUUAACAAUAAAACUAUUAAAAUUAAAUCAAAAUACAUAAUAAACUUAACAAUCGAUCCUAAGCUUAGUGACUCUGGGAUUGUUAAGAAUCGUUUAUGUGUCGGUUUAUGAUUAAUUGGACUAAUUAACCAAAAAAAAAACAGUUAUUUUUUUCCCCUCUUUCUUCUUCGUUUCUCCGUUUCUCAAAAACGUGAAAUCUAUGCUGAAGAUUCGAUCCGUCGAAUUGAGAGACAAUAUGAGUCGGAAAUGAGUUUUGGAUCUGUCGCUAUCAUCAUUCCAGCGACGCCGGUGACCAUCGACGUUUUCUGGUUCCCCAAAUCGGGAAGUUAACCAAUUCUCUGUGUUUGGUUCAAGGAUGCUCUAAUUUUGUUCCCAUGGUGUUGUCUUCCUUUUGGCCCAAGCUGGUUCGUACUUGACGAAAGUGAAAGUUCAGAUGCUGAACGUAACUGGUAUGUCUCUUGCUGUUCUUGGUCACUACGGAGCCGCAGUUACUGAUCUUGUGCUUCAAGGCCUUCAAGGCCUU